UACGUAGGGUGCAAGCGUUGUCCGGAAUCAUUGGGCGUAAAGCGCGCGUAGGCGGCCCGAUAAGUCCGCUGUAAAAGUCAACGGCUCAACUGUUGAAAGCCGGUGGUUACUGUCGGGCUAGAGUACGGAAGAGGCAAGUGGAAUUCCUGGUGUAGCGGUGUAAUGCGCAGAUAUCAGGAGGAACACCUAUAGCGAAGGCAGCUUGCUGGGACGUUACUGACGCUAAGGCGCGAAAGCGUGGGGAGCGAACAGG
RNAcentral lists this ribosomal RNA (253 nucleotides) under uncultured bacterium. RNAcentral describes it as "partial 16S ribosomal RNA". It matches the Rfam family "Bacterial small subunit ribosomal RNA", at positions 524 to 776 of the family's 1533-position model. The record is from RNAcentral.